ACUCAAAGGAAUUGACGGGGACCCGCACAAGCAGUGGAGCAUGUGGUUCAAUUCGACGCAACGCGAAGAACCUUAUCCUGGUCUUGACAUCCUUUGACCGCCGGCGAAAGUCGGUUUUCCCUUCGGGGACAGAGAGACAGGUGCUGCAUGGCUGUCGUCAGCUCGUGUCGUGAGAUGUUGGGUUAAGUCCCGUAACGAGCGCAACCCACGCCUCUUGUUGCCAUCAUUAAGUUGGGCACUCUAGAGGGACUGCUAGCGUUAAGCUGGAGGAAGGUGUGGAUGACGUCAAGUCCUCAUGGCCCUUAUGACCAGGGCUACACACGUGCUACAAUGCAGAGUACAAAGGGCUGCGAAACCGUGAGGUGGAGCCAAUCCCAAAAAACUCUGCUCAGUUCGGAUUGUAGUCUGCAACUCGACUACAUGAAGCUGGAAUUGCUAGUAAUCGCAGAUCAGCAUGCUGUGGUGAAUACGUUCCCGGGUCUUGUACACACCGCCCGU
This 498-nucleotide ribosomal RNA is filed under the name uncultured bacterium. Its description in RNAcentral is "partial 16S ribosomal RNA". It matches the Rfam family "Bacterial small subunit ribosomal RNA", at positions 899 to 1397 of the family's 1533-position model. The record is from RNAcentral.